RNAcentral lists this ribosomal RNA (373 nucleotides) under uncultured organism. RNAcentral describes it as "partial 16S ribosomal RNA". It matches the Rfam family "Bacterial small subunit ribosomal RNA", at positions 527 to 896 of the family's 1533-position model. The record is from RNAcentral.
GUAGGUGGCAAGCGUUGUCCGGAAUUAUUGGGCGUAAAGCGCGCGCAGGGCGGUCCUUUAAGUCUGAUGUGAAAGCCCACGGCUCAACCGUGGAGGGUCAUUGGAAACUGGGGGACUUGAGUACAGAAGAGGAAAGCGGAAUUCCAAGUGUAGCGGUGAAAUGCGUAGAGAUUUGGAGGAACACCAGGGGCGAAGGCGGCUUUCUGGUCUGUAACUGACGCUGAGGCGCGAAAGCGUGGGGAGCAAACAGGAUUAGAUACCCUGGUAGUCCACGCCGUAAACGAUGAGUGCUAAGUGUUAGGGGGUUUCCGCCCCUUAGUGCUGCAGCUAACGCAUUAAGCACUCCGCCUGGGGAGUACGGCCGCAAAGGCUG